GUCAGUGUGGUGUAGUGGUUUAAAUAUUGGACUAUGACUCUGGAGAUCAGGGUUCGAUUCCCAGCACUGCCA
Molecule: non-coding RNA, 72 nt
Organism: Phrynosoma platyrhinos (Desert horned lizard)
Lineage: Eukaryota; Metazoa; Chordata; Lepidosauria; Squamata; Phrynosomatidae
Source: the annotation of a GenBank genome assembly